UACGUAGGGACCGAGCGUUGUCCGGAUUCAUUGGGCGUAAAGAGCUCGUAGGCGGCUGUUCAAGUCGAACGUGAAAACUCGGAGCUCAACUCCGAGCCUGCGUUCGAUACUGGACGGCUAGAGUCUGGUAGGGGGAUCUGGAAUUCCUGGUGUAGCGGUGGAAUGCGCAGAUAUCAGGAGGAACACCGGUGGCGAAGGCGGGUCUCUGGGCAACAACUGACGCUGAGGAGCGAAAGCGUGGGGAGCGAACAGG
This 253-nucleotide ribosomal RNA is filed under the name uncultured bacterium. RNAcentral's name for it is "partial 16S ribosomal RNA". It matches the Rfam family "Bacterial small subunit ribosomal RNA", at positions 524 to 776 of the family's 1533-position model. The record is from RNAcentral.